Molecule: ribosomal RNA, 587 nt
Filed under: uncultured cyanobacterium
Lineage: Bacteria; Bacillati; Cyanobacteriota
Description: bacterial SSU rRNA
Rfam family: Bacterial small subunit ribosomal RNA
Source: RNAcentral
AAACGUGCCUGCGGUCGAGAUUCCUACGGGAGGCAGCAGUGGGGAAUUUUCCGCAAUGGGCGAAAGCCUGACGGAGCAAUACCGCGUGAGGGAAGACUGCCUAUGGGUUGUAAACCUCUUUUUUCAGGGAGGAAUCAAUGACGUGUACCUGAAGAAUAAGCAUCGGCUAACUCCGUGCCAGCAGCCGCGGUAAGACGGAGGAUGCAAGUGUUAUCCGGAAUCACUGGGCGUAAAGCGUCUGUAGGUGGUUUAAUAAGUCAACUGUUAAAUCUUGAGGCUCAACUUCAAAAUCGCAGUCGAAACUAUUAGACUAGAGUAUAGUAGAGGUAAAGGGAAUUUCCAGUGGAGCGGUGAAAUGCGUAGAUAUUGGAAAGAACACCGAUGGCGAAAGCACUUUACUGGGCUACUACUAACACUCAGAGACGAAAGCUAGGGUAGCAAAUGGGAUUAGAUACCCCAGUAGUCCUAGCCGUAAACAAUGGAUACUAGAUGUUGAACAGAUCGACCUGUGCAGUAUCAAAGCUAACGCGUUAAGUAUCCCGCCUGGGAAGUAUGCUCGCAAGAGUGAAACUCAAAUGAAUUGACGG